This 69-nucleotide transfer RNA is filed under the name Occidozyga baluensis. Its description in RNAcentral is "tRNA-Val". Lineage: Eukaryota; Metazoa; Chordata; Amphibia; Anura; Dicroglossidae. The record is from RNAcentral.
CAAAGUAUAGCUAAACUUAAAGCCUCUCGCCUACACCGGGAAAAUAUCUGAUCGCCCAGAUUACUUUGA